RNAcentral lists this ribosomal RNA (253 nucleotides) under uncultured bacterium. RNAcentral describes it as "partial 16S ribosomal RNA". It matches the Rfam family "Bacterial small subunit ribosomal RNA", at positions 524 to 776 of the family's 1533-position model. The record is from RNAcentral.
UACGAAGGGGGCUAGCGUUGUUCGGAAUUACUGGGCGUAAAGCGCACGUAGGCGGAUAUUUAAGUCAGGGGUGAAAUCCCAGAGCUCAACUCUGGAACUGCCUUUGAUACUGGGUAUCUCGAGUAUGGAAGAGGUGAGUGGAAUUCCGAGUGUAGAGGUGAAAUUCGUAGAUAUUCGGAGGAACACCAGUGGCGAAGGCGGCUCACUGGACCGACACUGACGCUGAGGCGCGAAAGCGUGGGGAGCGAACGGG